This 497-nucleotide ribosomal RNA is filed under the name uncultured bacterium. RNAcentral's name for it is "partial 16S ribosomal RNA". It matches the Rfam family "Bacterial small subunit ribosomal RNA", at positions 28 to 507 of the family's 1533-position model. The record is from RNAcentral.
GAUGAACGCUGGCGGCGUGCCUAAUACAUGCAAGUCGAGCGAACAGAUGAGGAGCUUGCUCCUCUGACGUUAGCGGCGGACGGGUGAGUAACACGUGGAUAACCUACCUAUAAGACUGGGAUAACUUCGGGAAACCGGAGCUAAUACCGGAUAAUAUAUUGAACCGCAUGGUUCAAUAGUGAAAGACGGUUUUGCUGUCACUUAUAGAUGGAUCAGCGCCGCAUUAGCUAGUUGGUAAGGUAACGGCUUACCAAGGCAACGAUGCGUAGCCGACCUGAGAGGGUGAUCGGCCACACUGGAACUGAGACACGGUCCAGACUCCUACGGGAGGCAGCAGUAGGGAAUCUUCCGCAAUGGGCGAAAGCCUGACGGAGCAACGCCGCGUGAGUGAUGAAGGUCUUCGGAUCGUAAAACUCUGUUAUUAGGGAAGAACAAAUGUGUAAGUAACUAUGCACGUCUUGACGGUACCUAAUCAGAAAGCCACGGCUAACUACGUG